Molecule: ribosomal RNA, 171 nt
Filed under: uncultured bacterium
Lineage: Bacteria
Description: partial 16S ribosomal RNA
Rfam family: Bacterial small subunit ribosomal RNA
Source: RNAcentral
GGCUCAACCGCGGAACUGCAUUUGAAACUGUUUUUCUUGAGUACCGGAGAGGUCAUCGGAAUUCCUUGUGUAGCGGUGAAAUGCGUAGAUAUUAGGAGGAACACCAGUGGCGAAGGCGGCCUGCUGGACGAUGACUGACGUUGAGGCUCGAAAGCGUGGGGAGCAAACAGG